Molecule: ribosomal RNA, 740 nt
Filed under: uncultured bacterium
Lineage: Bacteria
Description: bacterial SSU rRNA
Rfam family: Bacterial small subunit ribosomal RNA
Source: RNAcentral
AGAGUUUGAUCCUGGCUCAGGAUGAACGCUGGCGNNUGCUUAACACAUGCAAGUCGAACGGAGNNUUCGGUACUUAGUGGCGGACGGGUGAGUAACGCGUGAGAAUCUGCCUUCAGGUUCGGGACAACCACUGGAAACGGUGGCUAAUACCGAAUGUGCAGCAAUGUGAAAAAUUUAUUGCCUGAAGAUGAGCUCGCGUCUGAUUAGCUAGUAGGUGUGGUAAGAGCGCACCUAGGCGACGAUCAGUAGCUGGUCUGAGAGGAUGAUCAGCCACACUGGGACUGAGACACGGCCCAGACUCCUACGGGAGGCAGCAGUGGGGAAUUUUCCGCAAUGGGCGAAAGCCUGACGGAGCAAUACCGCGGAGGGAGGAAGGCUCUUGGGUUGUAAACCUCUUUUCUCAAGGAAGAAAAAAAUGACGGUACUUGAGGAAUAAGCAUCGGCUAACUCCGUGCCAGCAGCCGCGGUAAUACGGAGGAUGCAAGCGUUAUCCGGAAUGAUUGGGCGUAAAGCGUCCGCAGGUGGCUAUGUAAGUCUGCUGUUAAAGAGUCUGGCUCACCAGAUAAAGGCAGUGGAAACUACAUGGCUAGAGUGCGUUCGGGGCAGAGGGAAUUCCUGNNGUAGCGGUGAAAUGCGUAGAGAUCAGGAAGAACCCGGUGGCGAAAGCGCUCUGCUAGCCGCAACUGACACUGAGGGACGAAAGCUAGGGGAGCGAAUGGGAUUAGAUACCCUAGUAGUCC